AGAAACAAUGGGGGAUAUAGCUACUAGUCAAACUGAGACAAAGAAGAAUUAGUUCAAAUUAUAGUGGGACUCUUCCCUGGUCAGGGGUUGGGUCUCAGUAUUGUUGGUGGGCGUGGCUCUCCCACUGGGGACGUACCCAUUUAUGUAAAGAGGAUCCUACCUGAGUCAGUGUUACAGAAAGACUCAGAGAUAAAGACUGGAGAUGAACUGGUAGCAGUUAAUGAUUUAAUAAUACAUAAUGUAACUAAGGACUAUGCUACUGAAGCUCUUACUAAUGUACAGGGAGCAGUGAGACUACUACUGAUACAGGACCUAUGAA
Molecule: long non-coding RNA, 319 nt
Organism: Amphimedon queenslandica
Lineage: Eukaryota; Metazoa; Porifera; Demospongiae; Haplosclerida; Niphatidae
Exons: 2
Source: RefSeq, a predicted model, not a curated record